This 412-nucleotide ribosomal RNA is filed under the name uncultured bacterium. RNAcentral's name for it is "bacterial SSU rRNA". It matches the Rfam family "Bacterial small subunit ribosomal RNA", at positions 357 to 767 of the family's 1533-position model. The record is from RNAcentral.
AGGAAUAUUGGUCAAUGGACGCAAGUCUGAACCAGCCAUGCCGCGUGAAGGAUGAAGGUCCUCUGGAUUGUAAACUUCUUUUAUCUGGGACGAAAACGGGAUUUUUAUAUCAAUUGACGGUACCAGAGGAAUAAGCACCGGCUAACUCCGUGCCAGCAGCCGCGGUAAUACGGAGGGUGCGAGCGUUAUACGGAUUUACUGGGUUUAAAGGGUGCGUAGGUGGGCUUAUAAGUCAGUGGUGAAAUCUCCGAGCUUAACUUGGAAACUGCCGUUGAUACUAUAUGUCUUGAAUUAUCUGGAGGUAAGCGGAAUAUGUCAUGUAGCGGUGAAAUGCUUAGAUAUGACAUAGAACACCAAUUGCGAAGGCAGCUUACUACAUAUAAAUUGACGCUGAGGCACGAAAGCGUGGGGA